Mustela lutreola (European mink) is the source of this 2214-nucleotide long non-coding RNA. RefSeq lists it as uncharacterized. The record is from RefSeq and is a predicted model, not a curated record. The transcript is spliced from 2 exons. NCBI's taxonomy places the organism in Eukaryota, Metazoa, Chordata, Mammalia, Carnivora, Mustelidae.
ACUCCGCUUGCCUUUUCUCUCCUUUUUAUUCGAAAGCGGAAACCAGACGGCCCAAGCGGAAACCAGCACAGUCCCGUCCUGCCGCCAGCGAGGCCUUCCCCCUCGCCCGCCUCCCUCCGCCGCCGGCCUCCGGGACCCGUCUCCCCGCACCAUCCCGCAGGUGUGCGGCCUCUGGCGGGGGGGGGGGGGGGGGGAUCUGAAGGACCCCGGCGGAGGUAGAGGUGUCUCCUCUUCCCCCAAACCCAUCCUCAGACUUGCUCCAGAAAGUUUGGAGGGUGGGUACACCCUGACUCAGGCAACCCGCUCCCCCAAACCCAUGGCUGACUAAUAUGAUAUGACAAAAGCCGGUGAUGGAUUUGGUAUAUGUUAAUUCACAAUGCCCUUUCCUCCAGAAUUUAACUAUAAGUUAAUACACACCGGAAACCACGCGCAUACACGCUCCUCGUUAAUGGGCUUAGGUAUUAGCGAGCCCUAACGAUGCAUACAAAUGUGUUCUGCGCUCUGUAGGCCCCUCAAGAUUUAUGGGCCUUGAGCUCUCUGAAGCUGUAAACAAGGAGAAAAAAAAGAGAAAGGAGAGAGAGACUGGGGGAAAGAGACAGAGGCCUGACUCACCCCUCCAGAUUGUGGGAGAGAAGGGAUCUUUGCAAGUGGGUUCCUAAGUCUUUUGCUUUCCUUACAAGCUCGGGGUGUGUGGUUUGGGGCAUUGGGCUGGGGCUGGGGUGGGGGUUGCGCCUGGACGCUGGUGUGCGUGGGCAGUGUGCUGUUUGCGAGCUGGGUUGGGGGAAAAGCUUCCUAUGAACUGCUGUGCGGGGCCCGCAUCUAGCAGGCACCCGUGGGCAAGUAUCUGCGGGUGUGCACACUGUGCUAGGUGUGCGUGUGUGUGUGCGUGUGUGCGCGCGCGCGCCUGUGUGCCUGUGUGACAAGCAGGCCUCCCUCUGGGCCUGGUGGCUGUCCCCUGAACCCUGCGAACAAAUCUCUAACAACAAUCAUAAUAACAAUAAAUAAUAAAUAACAAUAAAACGGUAGUUAACAGUCCCUCCCUAGCAGGAUAACAAUAAAAUGCAAGAGGAGAUAUUUUGAGGAGGGGCCGGGGAAGGAGUCGGGAUCACAGCAUCCGAGGGGAAGACAAGGGAGGAAGGAAGGAAGUUAGCUUUUUCCUAAGCCCUUGGAGGGCUGGAUUUAGGAACCCCCUCUCCAGACAAGGUCCUCCGGCCGAGGAGGAGAGGGAGAGCCCCCGGAGGCCGCUCUUUCCUGCUUCGUUUUCUCCGGCUUUUGCUUUGUGCGAUCGGGGGAGGGAUCCCACAUUAUGGGGGUGAAUUGUGGCUUUGGGGAGCCUCUGGAGCCCUUGUUUUAAAGAGGAGGGCAAGCAAAGAGGGUCACGGUGAGGGGGAGGAGGGGGGGGGCAGAUGAGGCGAUGGCCAGAACCAGGGUCCUAAACACUCGGGCAACAGAAGUGCCCGGGGAGGACGUGCCGCCGGGUAUGGACGGAAGCAGAAAAACAUUUAUGGCCGCCCGAGAGUGGGGAGAGCAGGGCCGGGGUUUCCGGUAGGCCCAGGGAAAGUUCCCUUUCUAGGGGCUUUUCAAACCACACAAACAAAAACAACAACAACAACAACAAAAAGAAAAGAAGAAGGAGGAGGAGGAGGAAGGAUUUGAGGCGCGCUGAAUUUUCCUUCGCGGGCUUGGAGCGAGCGGAUUGCCAUAAAGGAAGCGAAGACCACGAUCCCGGAUUCUUCCACGUCCACCUCAUUUUCUCCAGGCCUCUCCAUUUGCCGGAUCUCUCAACCACCGGGAGACUAACACAAUGGGGGCUCCUGGACUGCCCCCCAGCCACUCCUGGAUGGUUUCCCAAAGCCUAGCUACCUCCAACCCUCCUUGUGUGUUGGGGUAGGGAAUAGCUGUACCCAGACACCUCUGCACCCUGUCAUAUGUAAAGCGUGCUCACUUGAAGAAUAUCUUGAAGAAGAAGGAGAAGAAGGAGGAGGAGAAGGCAGGCCAGCUUAGAGCUGUGUUUACUUCUAGUUCUACUGAUCCGUUCUCAUCUGGAGACUUUAUUUAUAACCCCCACUAUAACUCUCUCUGUUUGGAGGCACUGGUGGUUCUAUUGACAGACUGAUGUCUAGAAAAUAUUGCUCUAUCUCUAACCAUCCCUAAAUGUGCUGUGCUUGUAUUUACAGAUUUAUGCUGGAGGAAAAUAUAAUUAUUUCCAUUGUA